Long non-coding RNA from Drosophila novamexicana, 1218 nucleotides. RefSeq lists it as uncharacterized. The transcript has 3 exons. The record is from RefSeq and is a predicted model, not a curated record. Lineage: Eukaryota; Metazoa; Arthropoda; Insecta; Diptera; Drosophilidae.
UUAGUCUGUUAUCACUUGGCCUACUGUGCAGCAUAUUUUUGUAUCUCUGUUUACACUUUGUUGUUGCUGCCGUUCCGUUAAUUACUGUCAGCAAAACGUUCAAUGACCACUUGACGUGCGCACACACACACUCGCACGCACACACAUAUGUACAUAGAGCUAGACAGUACAUCGCUGCUUUGGUCUCAUCGCUACUUGACGUCACAUAUGCAAGCAAUCGCAAACUACUCACAGGCGUGGCGAAAAUAGUAAUACAUGUGCCAAAACAGCGGUAAAAUAUGAAAGGCAGGCAAAAGCGAAAUCUUUUUAUUAUUGGCGAGAUUGGACAGCGGCCAAACGGCACGGAAAUGACCAACAACAUAAGAAAUACAGACGACGGCGUGUGAAAUCAUGCGCUUUCCCGGCUAAGAGAACACAAAGAAUUUUAGCAAAAACUAUGAACUCGGAAAAAAUACAUACAUGUGUCGUGAUGUAAUGGGUCAAAAGGAUGGAAACCAGCGAAUUUAAAGGUAUAAAUGAUAUGCUUGGUUUGAUUUCACUUUGGGUACUAGUAUUUCAUCAGCACGACCUUGACACAGUAGAUAACAUAAACAAUUUAUUCGCCUAAGUGGAUUGCUUCUGCGUGCCAUGACUGAGUUUUCAUCUCAGACUGUGGGCGUGUGCUGUUACGCAACACUCUCCAGCAAAAACAAGUUCAGAUCCAAGCAUAAACCCACUGCACCAGCUAAAAGGUGUUACAAAAUAGGCGAUUUAUCGAUUUUCCAUGAUGUCACACUCACCCCUAACUCAAAUUAAAUAAAAUGCAUAGUUGCUCCCCUCUUGCUGCUCACAUGACCAGCGGCCAAAAAGCAAACAAAACAAUAAUAAAGCAAAUAGCAAAAGUUUAACAAGCCAAAAUUGAUAAAACUGCUGAGAUAGAUGCAUGUGAUAAAGCAAGAAAGAAACCAAAAGCAUAAACACAAUGGAAACCCUUUGGGUGUAUGUGUGUGUGUAUAUGUGUGAGGGCUUCGUGUCUGCUUGCAAAAUUUUCAUUUCGAGGUUAUGAAAUCACUUGUAACGAAAAACCAUUUACACAUACGGAUUUUCAUGCACAUUUGAUCUGUAUGAAACCGGGACAGAUUUUUUUUAGUGUCUUGGGAACAAGACGACCACGACCACACAACGUACACCACAAAAUUGAUUUGCAACCGAAUGUCAGUGUGACCAGCAUUAAAAAUG